AGUACGAUCGGGUCAGGAGGCGCGGGAGUAAGAAGGGGGACAGCGUUGCGCGGAUUAACAGUGCGGUAAGCGCACGUAGGCGACAUGUGAAGUGAGGGGGGUAAUCCGGUAGCUCAGCUCCAGAAGUGCCUUUUAUAAGGGCGAGAUUGAGUUCGGGAGAGGUGAGGGGAACUGCGAGUGUAGAGGUGAAAUUCUUAGAUAUUCGCAAGAACACCAGUGGCGAAGGCGGCUCACUGGCCCGAUACUGACGCUGAGGUGCGAAAGCGUGGGGAGCAAACAGGAUUAGAUACCCUUGUAGUC
Molecule: ribosomal RNA, 300 nt
Filed under: uncultured Veillonella sp.
Lineage: Bacteria; Bacillati; Bacillota; Negativicutes; Veillonellales; Veillonellaceae
Description: bacterial SSU rRNA
Rfam family: Bacterial small subunit ribosomal RNA
Source: RNAcentral